AUUGAACGCUGGCGGCAGGCCUAACACAUGCAAGUCGAGCGGAUGAAGGGAGCUUGCUCCUGGAUUCAGAGGCGGACGGGUGAGUAAUGCCUAGGAAUCUGCCUGGUAGUGGGGGAUAACGUCCGGAAACGGGCGCUAAUACCGCAUACGUCCUGAGGGAGAAAGUGGGGGAUCUUCGGACCUCACGCUAUCAGAUGAGCCUAGGUCGGAUUAGCUAGUUGGUGGGGUAAGGGCCUACCAAGCCGAGGAUCGGUAAGUGGCCUGAGAGGAUGAUCAGUCACACUGGAACUGAGACACGGUCCAGACUCCUACGGGAGGCAGCAGUGGGGAAUAUUGGACAAUGGGCGAAAGCCUGAUCCAGCCAUGCCGCGUGUGUGAAGAAGGUCUUCGGAUUGUAAAGCACUUUAAGUUGGGAGGAAGGGCAGUAAGUUAAUACCUUGCUGUUUUGACGUUACCAACAGAAUAAGCACCGGCUAACUUCGUG
RNAcentral lists this ribosomal RNA (484 nucleotides) under uncultured bacterium. RNAcentral describes it as "partial 16S ribosomal RNA". It matches the Rfam family "Bacterial small subunit ribosomal RNA", at positions 30 to 507 of the family's 1533-position model. The record is from RNAcentral.